Molecule: ribosomal RNA, 553 nt
Filed under: uncultured fungus
Lineage: Eukaryota; Fungi
Description: eukaryotic LSU rRNA
Rfam family: 5.8S ribosomal RNA (bases 200-353)
Source: RNAcentral
GGUCUCCGUAGGUGAACCUGCGGAGGGAUCAUUACACAAAUAUGAAGGCGGGCUGGAACCUCUCGGGGUUACAGCCUUGCUGAAUUAUUCACCCUUGUCUUUUGCGUACUUCUUGUUUCCUUGGUGGGUUCGCCCACCACUAGGACAAACAUAAACCUUUUGUAAUUGCAAUCAGCGUCAGUAACAAAUUAAUAAUUACAACUUUCAACAACGGAUCUCUUGGUUCUGGCAUCGAUGAAGAACGCAGCGAAAUGCGAUAAGUAGUGUGAAUUGCAGAAUUCAGUGAAUCAUCGGAUCUUUGAACGCACAUUGCGCCCUUUGGUAUUCCAAAGGGCAUGCCUGUUCGAGCGUCAUUUGUACCCUCAAGCUUUGCUUGGUGUUGGGCGUCUUGUCUCUAGCUUUGCUGGAGACUCGCCUUAAAGUAAUUGGCAGCCGGCCUACUGGUUUCGGAGCGCAGCACAAGUCGCACUCUCUAUCAGCAAAGGUCUAGCAUCCAUUAAGCCUUUUUUUCAACUUUUGACCUCGGAUCAGGUAGGGAUACCCGCUGAACUUA